RNAcentral lists this long non-coding RNA (1419 nucleotides) under Anolis carolinensis (green anole). RNAcentral describes it as "lncRNA (ENSACAG00000035303.1)". The record is from RNAcentral. Lineage: Eukaryota; Metazoa; Chordata; Lepidosauria; Squamata; Anolidae.
UUCCACAAGCUGCCUUGAGGCAUUGAAUCACUCCCUUUACCCGCCAUGCCAGUCCCCUCUGGAUGCUGUCAAGAACAAGAAAGAAAGGUUACAGUACAGUAAACCAUGAGUAGGUCCUGUACACUUCCUCAGGCAUCUUCAAAAAUACAAGAUAAGCAGGUUCUGCCGAGUCCAUUAAGAAUGUUAGCAAAUGGAAAAUAUCUCAACAUGCUAUAUCUAUGGAAGCUUUCAAUGCAAUUAGCAGAAAUCCAAUUUACGAUGCAUUCUUAUACUCAGGUGAGGGCUCAGAACAAAUUUCUUUCACAAAUACCAGUCAAAGAACAUGAAAGGCACUGCAGACUAAUUCAACCAGAGAAAUCAGCCAUAGCAGAGCACUUGAUGAACCAAUCUGGACACAGUAUAUUAUUUGAGAACACAUAAAUGCGUGACCAUUCCAACAACUAUGUCAGACUACAAAGAGAAGCCAUUGAAAUCCACAAGCAUGUGGACAACUUCAACAGAAAGGAGGAAACCAUGAAAAUGAACAAAAUCUGGCUACCAGUUUUAAAAAAUUCAAAAAUCAAAACAGUAGAUGGGAAGCAACACUCUGAGGGCAGAAGAGCCCCAAGGACGGCUAAUGACUCUUAACAAUGGAUGCCCCCCAGGCAAGAGACAAACCUUUCCAAUGCUAAUUAGGGUGAUUAACUGAAACAUUAACGCUGGCUUCCAACUGACAAGGACUCUUGUCACACCCUGGACUCUCCUGGACUCUUGUCACACCCUGGACUCUCCACAGAUAUAUAUUUUUCCUUCCUUGCCCAGUUUAUCUGAGGAUGCCUGCUAUAGAUGUGGGCAAAACGUCAGGAGAGAAUACUUCUGGAACAUGGCCACACAGCCCGAAAGGCAUACAACAACCCUGUGAUCCCGGCCAUGAAAGCCUUCGACAACAAAUUUCUUUCAGCAGUCCUGGGGAUUGUCCGCACAAAUAAAACAAACCUGGACUCAUCACAAAUUCAUGUGCACAGGGACUUCCAACAAGUAUCUCAGAUUUUCUGCCCUUAACCCAAUUUUGCUCUGCUUUAGGCAAAGUUGGGGGGCCCUCCAUAGCUUGUAGAACACUCCGAAGUAGGUGGCUAUCUGGAAAGCUGGUUAGCUUCUGUGAUGACUCAUGGGCCAUGUAGUCCCGUUCCUAGUACUGUUGUGACAGAUGAAGAGGAAAACUUGGGUUUCCCACCGUUUCUGCCAGAUUUGGAGCCCUUGCAGCUGCAGGAUGUUUGUCCACAAGAAGUCAGCCAAACAAGCCUUGAGGAGAAAUCUCCCCCAUUUUCUCGCCGCCUUUAUUAUAAUCAAGAUAGACAUGCUCGGGAGGCGACUCGCCGAAGCGCCCGGAUAGCUGCCAGACAAUUAGUUGAUUAAGUCUAUUUCCCUUGGGAAAGUUUA